Molecule: ribosomal RNA, 609 nt
Filed under: uncultured bacterium
Lineage: Bacteria
Description: bacterial SSU rRNA
Rfam family: Bacterial small subunit ribosomal RNA (bases 1-527)
Source: RNAcentral
CCUACGGGAGGCAGCAGUGGGGAAUAUUGCGCAAUGGGCGAAAGCCUGACGCAGCCACGCCGCGUGAGUGAUGAAGGCCUUCGGGUUGUAAAGCUCUGUCGGGAGGGAAGAAGGGGAAACCCUGACGGUACCUCGCAAGAAAGCACCGGCUAACUCUGUGCCAGCAGCCGCGGUAAUACAGAGGGUGCAAGCGUUGCUCGGAUUUACUGGGCGUAAAGCGUACGCAGACGGUUUGGUAGGUCGGGCGUGAAAGCCCUGGGCUCAACCCAGGAAAUGCGCUCGAAACCGCCUCACUCGAGUAUAGGAGAGGAAAGCGGAAUUCCCGGUGUAGAGGUGAAAUUCGUAGAUAUCGGGAGGAACACCAGCGGCGAAGGCGGCUUUCUGGCCUAUUACUGACGUUCAGGUACGAAAGCGUGGGUAGCAAACAGGAUUAGAUACCCUGGUAGUCCACGCUGUAAACGAUGAGUGCUGGAUGUCGGGUAGUUCUACCCUCCGUACGUACGAGCUACGACGUACGACNCUCCGCCGUCGGGAGGUACGGCCGCGAGUAGAACGUACGAAGAAGUAGACGGCGUGUAGACGUUGCGACGACGACGACGAGGGAGGAGG